RNAcentral lists this long non-coding RNA (698 nucleotides) under Ananas comosus (pineapple). Its description in RNAcentral is "long non-coding RNA (ACOM_LNC003256)". Lineage: Eukaryota; Viridiplantae; Streptophyta; Magnoliopsida; Poales; Bromeliaceae. The record is from RNAcentral.
UUUAUAGAAAGGCUUUUUUUGCAAUUGACCUUCUGAAAAAAAUUAAUUUUAAAAAUAGUCUUAGCAAAUUUAUAUUUGCAAAAAUAGUCUUGUCCCUACCACGUAAGCGCCACGCUAGCGGGGCUGGGGCCAGAAAGUUAAGUUGAAUACGGUGAACUAUUAUCAUGUCCAAACACAAUAAAUCAUUCACCGUGUAUAGACACGGUGAAUGAUUCACCGUGUAUACUGCGUGACUUGAACUUGGCAGUGUGUGACUUGGACUUGUUGGUGAAUAUACACGGUGGUAAUACAUUAAACACGGAGAACCGUUCACCGUGUCUAGACAUGGUGAAUGGUUCAUCGUGUUCAGUAGAGCUACAUAACACUUACAAUUAUUUCAGCACAAUAAAUCACUAAAAUACAACAUCAACACACACAAUAACAAAUUCGAUACAACAAUAUAAGAAAUUCAACAUCAACAAUACAACAACAAAUCCAACACAAUAAUAAAUCCAACACAAUAUCAAUAGAGCAUCAAUACCUUAUCAUCACAACAGAAUAUCAAAAAUUAAAACAAAUUUUUUAAUAAUAUAGAAAGUUCGAUGUAAUUUAAAAUUUACAAAAAUAUAAUGUUAUGUUCUCCUUCUAGUCCCUCGAUCACGUCUACUUACAACGUCCCUUACCACGUCCGCGACCACGAUCAACACUAUGCUCAUCAA